RNAcentral lists this ribosomal RNA (878 nucleotides) under uncultured archaeon. RNAcentral's name for it is "bacterial SSU rRNA". It matches the Rfam family "Archaeal small subunit ribosomal RNA", at positions 36 to 924 of the family's 1478-position model. The record is from RNAcentral.
GGAUGGUCUAGCCAUGCGAGUAUUGUAGCAAUACAAGGCGGACGGCUCAGUAACACGUAGUCAACCUAACUCGUGGACGUGGAUAACCUCGGGAAACUGAGAAUAAACCACGAUAGAUCAUAGUGCCUGGAAUGGCUUAUGGUACAAACAGUUUACUGCCAUGGGAUGGGACUGCGGCCUAUCAGCUUGUUGGUGAGGUAAUGGCCCACCAAGGCGAUUACAGGUACGGGCUCUGAGAGGAGUAGCCCGGAGAUGGGUACUGAGACACGGACCCAGGCCCUAUGGGGCGCAGCAGGCGAGAAACCUUAGCAAUGUGCGAAAGCACGACUGGGUCAGUCCGAGUGAUUCCUGAUAAAGGAAUCUUUUGCCUGUCCUAAAAGCACAGGUGAAUAAGGGGUGGGCAAGUCUGGUGUCAGCCGCCGCGGUAAUACCAGCACCUCGAGUGGUCAGGACGUUUAUUGGGCCUAAAGCAUCCGUAGCCGGCUCUGCAAGUCUUCGGUUAAAUCCACCUGCUCAACAGAUGGGCCGCUGGAGAUACUACAGAGCUAGGGAGUGGGAGAGGCAGACGGUAUUCAGUGGGUAGGGGUAAAAUCCUCUGAUCCAUUGAGGACCACCAGUGGCGAAGGCGGUCUGCCANAACACGUUCGACGGUGAGGGAUGAAAGCUGGGGGAGCAAACCGGAUUAGAUACCCGGGUAGUCCCAGCUGUAAACGAUGCAAACUCGGUGAUGCAUUGGCUUAUGGCCAAUGCAGUGCCGCAGGGAAGCCGUUAAGUUUGCCGCCUGGGAAGUACGGACGCAAGUCUGAAACUUAAAGGAAUUGGCGGGGGAGCACCACAAGGGGUGAAGCCUGCGGUUCAAUUGGAUUCAACGCCGGGAA